RNAcentral lists this ribosomal RNA (242 nucleotides) under uncultured bacterium. Its description in RNAcentral is "partial 16S ribosomal RNA". It matches the Rfam family "Bacterial small subunit ribosomal RNA", at positions 15 to 248 of the family's 1533-position model. The record is from RNAcentral.
GAUCCUGGCUCAGGAUGAACGCUAGCUACAGGCUUAACACAUGCAAGUCGAGGGGCAGCAUGACGAUAGCUUGCUAUUGUUGAUGGAGACCGGCGUACGGGUGAGUAACGCGUAUCCAACCUUCCCGUUGCUAGGGGAUAACCUUGCGAAAGUAAGACUAAUACCCUAUGAAGUUCUUCGCAGGCAUCUAAAGAGAACGAAAGAUUUAUCGGCAACGGAUGGGGAUGCGUCUGAUUAGGUUG